AUUGAACGCUGGCGGAAUGCUUAACACAUGCAAGUCGAGCGGGGUGUAGCAAUACACCUAGCGGCGGACGGGUGAGGAAUACAUAGGAAUCUGCCUCAGAGCGGGGGACAGCCCGGGGAAACCCGGGAUUAAUACCGCAUGAUGUCGCAAGACCAAAGUGGGGACCGCAAGGCCCCACACUCUGAGAUGAGCCUAUGUCCGAUUAGCUAGUUGGCGGGGUAAUAGCCCACCAAGGCGGCGAUCGGUAGCUGGUCUGAGAGGACGAUCAGCCACACCGGAACUGAGACACGGUCCGGACUCCUACGGGAGGCAGCAGUGGGGAAUAUUGGACAAUGGGCGCAAGCCUGAUCCAGCAAUUCCGCGUGGGUGAAGAAGGCCUGGUUGUAAG
This 388-nucleotide ribosomal RNA is filed under the name uncultured bacterium. Its description in RNAcentral is "bacterial SSU rRNA". It matches the Rfam family "Bacterial small subunit ribosomal RNA", at positions 29 to 429 of the family's 1533-position model. The record is from RNAcentral.